GAGGAAUGGAAAUGAGCAUUUAUUAAGCACCUUGAAAUUCAAUUCAAUUUACUAUGAUUAAGUCUCUACUAUAUGGUAGGCAUUUUGCUAAUGAUUUAAAAUAUUACCUGUGAAAAGGCAGGCAUCUCAGAGGCCAGUUAGUCUAAUUUCUGUCUUUCAUUUUACAGAUGCUAAAACUGAAGACUAUGGAGGUUAAGUGACUUGUCUAAGGCAAUAUUGGCAAUACCUGCCACAGGUGGGAUUUGCAUCCAGGACCUCUGAUUCCAAGUCACUAGGACGAUGUAGGCUGGAGGCUCCGCUGGAAGAAGGAAAAUGCAAUCAUCUGGGCCGUGCAGGGGUCAUACAAGCUCCACUCCCCAGUCUCACUCCCAGGGGCCACGGCUCCUCUGACCAGGUCCUGGGAGUAGUCCAGGCCAUUAAGAAUUAACCUUCAAAAAACAAGCCUAGCCCCUGGGCCCAGUCAGGCUCUUCCUACCUUCCCUAACUCCCAGGGCAGCGCCCUGUACUCGCUUUUCCCCUCGGACUUCCAGGGGCGUAGCCUAGACUUAGGAAGGCUGCUCACCCUGAAUCACUUCAUUUUCACUUUCGUUACCUAUGGUCCAAAUUACAGUGAGGCAGGGCAGCAGUGGUGGCUGCGAUGACGGAGACUACCCGCUGCCAGCUGCUUCGGCACUUAGAGCACCUGACUUCCGACGAGCUGAAGAAAUUGGAGGACAAUCUCCCCCGGGGCCACCUGGAGGAGGAGGAUCGCACAAAAGUGGCCCAUCUCCUGGUUAGUUCUCAUGGGCAACAAAAGGCCUGGAAGCUGGCUCUGAGGAUCUGGAAGAUGGGCCUGAUGGAGCUGUGGGAGCGAGCCAGGAAGGAGUAUCUUGGAUUAGUUCCUGCUCCAGGUUUUCCAGCCUCCUCAGAUGAAAGAAAUAAGUACCAAGAACGAAUGCAAGAGAAAUUCCAGUUCAUUACAAGGAGCAGAAACAACAUGAGCUCCUAGUCCAUGUAUGGCAACAUGCUAAUGUCUUGGAGAAACGAGGACUGUUUAUGAAUAUAUCUUCUUUAUUUGAUGCUGAUCAAAAGACACGCACCCAACCAUGCAUUGCUGUGCUGCAGGGGACUGCUGGUAUUGGGAAGACCACCCUGGCCAUCAAAGUGAUGUUGGACUGGGCAGAGGGAAAACUCUACCGGGAC
Phascolarctos cinereus (koala) is the source of this 1182-nucleotide long non-coding RNA. The record is from Ensembl. NCBI's taxonomy places the organism in Eukaryota, Metazoa, Chordata, Mammalia, Diprotodontia, Phascolarctidae.